Molecule: long non-coding RNA, 1271 nt
Organism: Patiria miniata (bat star)
Lineage: Eukaryota; Metazoa; Echinodermata; Asteroidea; Valvatida; Asterinidae
Exons: 2
Source: RefSeq, a predicted model, not a curated record
GACUCUUGAAUUUUGCUUUGCCAAACAUAUCCAGUGUGUCAUUGCCUAAAAAGUGCUGAAUAAUUAAACAGCCUUGUGUGACAAGCAGAUUCUCUGAUUUAUUCGAGUGAAGAAACUCCUAACCAUGGCACGUAAUUCCGGGGUUUGAAGUUGAGCUACUUUUACACCAUCUCUGUUGUGCCGAGAGCUACCUGUACUUCCCCUACCGCACUGGUUAGAAGUGACGUACCACCUGUAUCUGAUCUGUUGGACGGGAAUCAGAGUGUGGCACUGCACAUUAUAGACUGGGAUCACCAAGCUUAGCAUCGCCAACUUCAUCAUCUUCCCUUAUAAACUGUGACGUCCCCGGAACGUUUAGGACUGAUAACAUAUCAAGUGUCGGGAACAAUUUUGUAAAUAUUAAGAUUUCCUGAUCUAGAGGUCCAGAGAUAUUGAAAAUACUUGUUAAAAACUUGCUAAAAACAGGAGAAUGUUUAUGGCAUAUAUAACUGAAGUUGAAGGUUUUCAGAAGAGUUAGUUUCGAGGUUGACGAUAGCGGAUUGAGGUUAAAAGUAAUAUUGAUUAAGGCCGGUUGGCAUUGAAGAUUUCAGUGGAUUGUAAAAAGGUUAAAUUAAAAUUUUGAUGUGAAAAAGGUUUUUCUGAAUUGAAAACCGAUUCAAAAUUUUGGCUUGAAAUUGGAUGUGAAAUAUGGAAGUUGAAAACAGAAAUUUAAUUCACAUAGAUAUUGGAGUUGAAGUUUAUUGGAUUUGAGAUUGUUAUUGAGGUGAAUUUGGAAAAUCUUGAAGUCAGUAGAAGUCUGGAGACUAUAUUUUGGAAGUGAUUUUGAAGACAGACAAUUUUCUGUUAGUUUAAGUGAGUUUCGUAAGUUUGAGAAGUAUAGAUUUUGAAACUCGAGUAAAAUUUGAAAUUUAAGUGUAGAAAUUUGAAAUUUAAGGUUAUUGAUCACAUUUCGAGACAAUUUUGUUUUUGGAGAUUGGUUAUUGAUCAAUGGUUUGAGACCUGAAGUUUGAAGAUUGAGAAUUAGUGCGAAUUUAUUGAUAAUUGAAAUUCUCGUAGUUGAAUUUGGAGUGAUUUGUUUUUGAGAGUAUUAUUUCAUCGAAGCGUUGAGAAAUACCAAAUUUGAAGAAGUUUGCAGAUUGAGAAUUAAUUGGAAAUCUGUACCUGAUUUGAAUAAGUCAAGUCAUAGAAAUUGUUUUGGACUUGUGAAUUUAUAAUUUUGUGAAAUUUGGGGAUUUUGUGUAAAUAAAUGUGCUUGUAUAUUGUAUAUAGAA